GGAGCAGGCGGCACUAAGGGUCUGUGGUGAAAGAUCGAAGCUUAACUUCGGUAAGCCAUGGAAACCGUAGAGCUAGAGUGUGUGAGAGGAUCGUGGAAUUCCAUGUGUAGCGGUGAAAUGCGUAGAUAUAUGGAGGAACACCAGUGGCGAAGGCGACGAUCUGGCGCAUAACUGACGCUCAGUCCUGAAAGCGUGGGGAGCAAAUA
RNAcentral lists this ribosomal RNA (206 nucleotides) under uncultured bacterium. RNAcentral describes it as "partial 16S ribosomal RNA". It matches the Rfam family "Bacterial small subunit ribosomal RNA", at positions 568 to 774 of the family's 1533-position model. The record is from RNAcentral.